GAACUCUGGAGAGUCUCAGGUUAUGAGCGCCGAAGGUGUAACACAGAUGCGAUGCGUCUGUCUAUCUCUCAGGCAAAAGGACAGGGC
Molecule: non-coding RNA, 87 nt
Filed under: uncultured Anaerosacchariphilus sp.
Lineage: Bacteria; Bacillati; Bacillota; Clostridia; Lachnospirales; Lachnospiraceae
Description: Glycine riboswitch
Rfam family: Glycine riboswitch aptamer
About the family: This family represents the bacterial glycine riboswitch. Glycine riboswitches usually consist of two metabolite-binding aptamers domains with similar structures in tandem.
Source: RNAcentral